GAUCAUGGUGCGAACACAACUAACUAAUCAAUAGAGGAAAACCAACCAAGCAAGCAUCCAAGGGCUCUUAUUGGAUUCACCAAAAUGAGAUCUUUUAUGGAAGAUUUGAUGAAGAAUUGAAGAAGAAAUCUGAUUGAGCAAAGAAGGAAAAUCAUUAGUGAAGCAACAUGAAAAGUAAUUAAGAGAGGAACCAAUGUGGG
Molecule: long non-coding RNA, 200 nt
Filed under: Elaeis guineensis (African oil palm)
Lineage: Eukaryota; Viridiplantae; Streptophyta; Magnoliopsida; Arecales; Arecaceae
Description: long non-coding RNA (EGUI_LNC002354)
Source: RNAcentral